Long non-coding RNA from Mastomys coucha (southern multimammate mouse), 419 nucleotides. RefSeq lists it as uncharacterized. The record is from RefSeq and is a predicted model, not a curated record. Lineage: Eukaryota; Metazoa; Chordata; Mammalia; Rodentia; Muridae. The transcript is spliced from 4 exons.
AGGUGGCUAGAGAGAAGGGAGACAAUGCCGGCUGGUCUGGUCCUGUGGUCAAAGGUUAGGAUCAGAAAUUCGUUCUUCAUCUAAUCAGCAAGGAGGAGCAAUGAUGAAGAAGAUGAGGAACAUCUUCAUCAUUCAGAGCUGUCCUGUUGCUUCAGAGACUCAGCAGAACACACACGCCUGCUCCUCAGGCCCUUGUUAAAUACUCUGUCACAUGGAGAAAUUCUCCUGCAGGCAGGUGGCCCAGCAGGGAUCCCCUUAUGACUGGAAUCAGAGUUUGCACAGACUCCUAUGAGUGUGAUCAUCUAUCUCAUGCUCCUGUCACCAUGCUGGCCAUGAUGGACUGUAUCCUUCAAACUGUGAGCCAAAACCAACCCUACCUGAUAAGAAACUAAGCAUCAGAUGGUCAAAAGAACUGCUAG